This 253-nucleotide ribosomal RNA is filed under the name uncultured bacterium. Its description in RNAcentral is "partial 16S ribosomal RNA". It matches the Rfam family "Bacterial small subunit ribosomal RNA", at positions 524 to 776 of the family's 1533-position model. The record is from RNAcentral.
UACGGAGGAUGCAAGCGUUAUCCGGAAUGAUUGGGCGUAAAGCGUCCGCAGGUGGCAAUGUAAGUCUGCUGUCAAAGCGUCUGGCUCAACCAGAUGAAGGCAGUGGAAACUACAUAGCUAGAGUAAGGUAGGGGUAGAGGGAAUUCCUGGUGUAGCGGUGAAAUGCGUUGAGAUCAGGAAGAACACCGGUGGCGAAAGCGCUCUACUGGACCUAAACUGACACUGAGGGACGAAAGCUAGGGGAGCGAAUGGG